GAAAUGCGAUAAGUAGUGUGAAUUGCAGAAUUCAGUGAAUCAUCGAAUCUUUGAACGCACAUUGCGCCCCUUGGUAUUCCAUGGGGCAUGCCUGUUCGAGCGUCAUUUGUACCCUCAAGCUCUGCUUGGUGUUGGGUGUUUGUCCCGUCUCCGCGCGUGGACUCGCCCCAAAGUGAUUGGCAGCCGGCGUACUGGUCCCGCAGCGCAGCACAUGUCGCAAACGAGUGCCUUGGUACGGCGGCGUCCAUAAGCCCCUCUCUCACGCUCUUGACCUCGGAUCAGGUAGGGAUACCCGCUGAACUUAAGC
RNAcentral lists this unclassified non-coding RNA (307 nucleotides) under plant metagenome. RNAcentral describes it as "partial contains 5.8S ribosomal RNA, internal transcribed spacer 2, and large subunit ribosomal RNA". The stretch from base 1 to 105 matches the Rfam family "5.8S ribosomal RNA", at positions 50 to 154 of the family's 154-position model. The record is from RNAcentral.